UACAGAGGGUGCAAGCGUUGUUCGGAUUUACUGGGCGUAAAGGGCGCGUAGGCGGCCUUCUAAGUCGGACGUGAAAUCCCCGGGCUCAACCCGGGAACUGCGUCCGAUACUGGAAGGCUUGAAUCCGGGAGAGGGAUGCGGAAUUCCAGGUGUAGCGGUGAAAUGCGUAGAUAUCUGGAGGAACACCGGUGGCGAAGGCGGCAUCCUGGACCGGUAUUGACGCUGAGGCGCGAAAGCCAGGGGAGCAAACGGG
RNAcentral lists this ribosomal RNA (253 nucleotides) under uncultured bacterium. RNAcentral's name for it is "partial 16S ribosomal RNA". It matches the Rfam family "Bacterial small subunit ribosomal RNA", at positions 524 to 776 of the family's 1533-position model. The record is from RNAcentral.